RNAcentral lists this ribosomal RNA (374 nucleotides) under uncultured Glomeromycotina. RNAcentral describes it as "LSU rRNA". Lineage: Eukaryota; Fungi; Glomeromycota. The record is from RNAcentral.
UUGAAAGGGAAACGAUUGAAGUCAGUCGUACUUACGAGAAAUCAACUCUUCGGUGCGGAUUUGCGGGCGUACGUGAGCCUUACGGCCUCGUUGUUUGCAAUGUCUGUGUUCUUGGGGUGUACUUUUUCGUGUGGUAGGUCAACGUCAGUUUUGUUCGCUAUAAAAUAACUUGAGGAAUGUAGCUUUGAUCUCGUAUUGAAGUGUUAUAGCCUUUGGUAGAUGUGGUGAUCGAAACUGAGGAUUGCAACGAAUACCCUUUGGGCUAUCCGUCUGACCUCUGGAAGUUGCUUAGGUGCCGAAAGCUUGCUUAUGGUCAUUUAAGUUGGCGGUCAAUAGGUUAGAACGUGAUUACAUUCGUUAAGGAUGUUGACGUA